GAGAUGAGUUCGGGGCGCGGAGGAGGUAUGCGCCGGCGGCGGGGCGAGGAGGAGGACCGGUCCGGUGCACGGGCGGUCGGCGUGAGUAGGAGGGCCGAUGCGCGAGGCGGCGGAACGAGGAGGUCGGUUGAGGGCUGCGGUGGGUGGAGCAGACGCCGAUGUUCCCACACUUUACGUUGGGUACCGUCGAAGAAGAGGGUUUAGGUGGCGGCGCAAGUAGCUAGCUAAGGCACCGACCGCCUCGAUGGCCUCUAAUGAUCUAAAACCCUCCGUACCCCUCUUCUCCCUCCUCUUUAUGGUGAGACGCCUCUCUCUCCCCGGUCUCGCGGUAGGCGCGCGCCACUGGUGGUCCGCCUCCAUGCUAGGAGGCACGCGGCGCGAGCACGUCUCUUCCAUGGGCGCGCCGCGCAGGCACGUUGUGCUGGUGGAGCGCACGUCCUCACCCUCCGCGGUCUAGGCCCGGUUGCGGCGGCGCGCUAGGGUUCUCGAGACUGGUUGCCUUCGUCGGCGCCCUGGGAAGUGAGGCCAGGGUACAGGCAGCGGCUCGAACCCAACCCCACCGCCAGCUGCCCGCUUGACCCCUAACCCCUACUUGACGAUGCGGCCGUUCACCGUUGACGAGGUCAAGAGCAUGUGCCCGGCUUGUUUCAAGAACAACGUACCACCGGUAGUCUCCUCCAUGUACACCAACCUCUAGACCCUCCUUCUUCUCGUCACUCUUCUGCUCCGUACGCUACCCAACCACCCUUCCUGUUGUACACCCUGAAAAAGACGUGCACUAGCCCCUUCCCCUCACCACGAUCAACCACUAGAAAAGAAAAACGACCAACCACACGGCCCCGUGGAGGCAAGGAUUUAUAUUCAGAAACAUCUCUAAAGUGAUACUUGGUGUAUGCCUACAUAUAUCUACGUAAAAUCUUCAUCUAAGUGAGUAAAACGAGGCAUACAUCAGGUAUCACUUUGGAGAUGUUUCUGAAUAUAAAUCCUUGCCUCCCUCAUAUACCAAUGUGCCCGCGAAUGAUCCCCACGAUUCCCGUAGAAGUUGCCGUUGGGCGUGCACGGCGGAGAUAUGUUCUUAACUUCAGCAGGCGGAGGUACAGCGGGGGUUCGAACCGCAGCUGCCCUGCCCUCCCCACCACCGGAAAAACCCUGUGCUCACCACUGCUGGAUGGCACGUGAUGAGAAGGAGCAACAGCCGCCGCGGCUUGUUGCGGAGCGGGCGGAGCAGCAGCGUGAGGUACGGCCGCCGGCGGUGAAGGCGGUGGGCGACGGCCAUAGCGGUCGCCCGCUCGACAUAGAGCGCCCGCCUCGCCAUCCUAAGUUCAUCACGGAGGACGAGGCGGUCCAGGAGCAGGCCGGGCCGCCGGAACGGCCGCCACUGGAUGAGGAGACGUACGUCUACGAGGAUCUCCUUCAACACCAACAUCAACCGCAGCCGGACGCGGAAAGCUUUGACCGGGAGGGCGAGGCAUGUGGUACAGGUAUAUCACCCGUGCCCCGAACAGCCACCAGUACCACGUUACGUGGCCACUCCCACCUCGCCUCUUCCUCCCACAGCGCCUCCUU
RNAcentral lists this ribosomal RNA (1566 nucleotides) under Triticum aestivum (bread wheat). Its description in RNAcentral is "partial small subunit ribosomal RNA". Lineage: Eukaryota; Viridiplantae; Streptophyta; Magnoliopsida; Poales; Poaceae. The record is from RNAcentral.